This is a non-coding RNA of Danio rerio (zebrafish), 469 nucleotides long. Lineage: Eukaryota; Metazoa; Chordata; Actinopteri; Cypriniformes; Danionidae. The record is from RefSeq and is a predicted model, not a curated record.
UAAAAUGUAUUACUAUUAUUAUUAGUUUGUUCAUAUUUCUUCAUCAAAAUGUCUCUUCAGCUUCUGCCACAACAAAAAUUUCUUCAACUGAGACUCAAACAUCCACAACAUCUUUAACAUCUCCUGUCAGUUUAAACUCUUCUAUAACUCAGUCUCAAACAGCAGCACUUAUAGCAUCUGCUGCCAAUACAAGCACUUCCACAACUGAGUCUCACAUAGCAGAAUUGACACCGUCCCCUGCCAAUUCAAGUACUUUUCAAACAUCAGGACCAACAAGUAAGCAUUGCUGUAUUGUCGUUGUUUGAACACUUUGUUAGAAACGAUUAUACUGCUGUUGUUUAUUGUAAUAAUCAGUACUACAUGUAUUUCAAAUCACCUCCCAUCAUGCAUCAGCUUCUGCAGUAAUAUUAACAGUGUGCACUGUUUACAAUUAUUAUGUGAUGUUUGUUAAAAAUAAGUUUAAUGACAU